GCGAGAGUAACUCAAUGGCUAGAGUGCUACCUUCCCAAGGUAGAAGUUGGGGGUUCGAGUCCCCUCUCUCGCUCCA
This 76-nucleotide transfer RNA is filed under the name Candidatus Dojkabacteria bacterium. RNAcentral's name for it is "tRNA-Gly". It matches the Rfam family "tRNA". Rfam says of the family: Transfer RNA (tRNA) molecules are approximately 80 nucleotides in length. Their secondary structure includes four short double-helical elements and three loops (D, anti-codon, and T loops). The record is from RNAcentral.